GCAUCCUGUACGUUUGAAACCAGGUGUUCGAUCGGCUGUGUAGCCGACGACGCCCGCCGCGAACUUAGAAGGGCUUCUUUGGGGUAGACACUUAGUGUCUUUAAAUGUCGUCGCACGUCUCGUUGGAAACCUUACCUUUCUAGUACGUCGACCGAUGGAACGAAAGGAGUUUUUCCGAGACUGCCACCCGGCCCCGUUUUUUUUUUCAUCGUCAACGUGCUUGCGACUGUACCGUAUAUGGAGAAAGGAAAAACGAGAGACAACUUUUAACGGUGGAUCUCUUGGCUCGUGCAUCGAUGAAGAACGCAGCCAGCUGCGAUAAGUAGUGUGAAUUGCAGAAUUCAGUGAAUCAUCGAAUCUUUGAACGCAAAUGGCGCUCUCGGGUUCUCCCGGGAGCACGUCCGUCUGAGUGUCGGCAUACAUAUAAGAUCGCACCGUCGUGCGGCGUUGAGGCGUCGCGGCGUCCAGGCCCGCGUCCCUCGAAAUGCAGGAGAACCGCCGCCUAGCGAGAUCCUCGGAGGCCUAAAACGAAUUGGUUCCCCGCGAUCCGCAGCAAGCAGCCGGUUCGGUUCGAAAAAAAGUGACACCAUAUCGCAUCUCGACCUCAGAUCGGGCGAGACUACCCGCUGAAUUUAAGCAUAUCAAUAAGCGGAGGAAAAGAAACUAACAAGGAUUCCCCCAGUAACGGCGAGUGAAGCGGGAAGAGUCAUG
RNAcentral lists this ribosomal RNA (711 nucleotides) under Palythoa tuberculosa. Its description in RNAcentral is "eukaryotic LSU rRNA". The stretch from base 262 to 415 matches the Rfam family "5.8S ribosomal RNA". The record is from RNAcentral. Lineage: Eukaryota; Metazoa; Cnidaria; Anthozoa; Zoantharia; Sphenopidae.